CGAAGAGUUCAGAGGUCAUCGUCACUACCUGGACUCCUCGAGACCGCAACGCGAUCAGGGAGGAAACAGAGAUGAACAUUGAGACGAGACGCCACAGAGUUUUAUCACAGCAGCCGGACAUUUGAGGAACUGCAGCUCAACACCAGGAGGAGACAGGAAGCGGGUUGUCAGCAUGUUAUUUAAUCAGAUUAUCGAUCAGGAAGUGAAUGUUUUUACAAAAUAAAAUGUACGAGAGAAGAAUCUUUAGAAACAU
Long non-coding RNA from Pseudoliparis swirei, 253 nucleotides. RefSeq lists it as uncharacterized. The record is from RefSeq and is a predicted model, not a curated record. The transcript has 2 exons. NCBI's taxonomy places the organism in Eukaryota, Metazoa, Chordata, Actinopteri, Perciformes, Liparidae.